This 243-nucleotide ribosomal RNA is filed under the name uncultured bacterium. RNAcentral's name for it is "partial 16S ribosomal RNA". It matches the Rfam family "Bacterial small subunit ribosomal RNA", at positions 15 to 244 of the family's 1533-position model. The record is from RNAcentral.
GAUCCUGGCUCAGGAUGAACGCUAGCUACAGGCUUAACACAUGCAAGUCGAGGGGGCGAGCAUGUAUCUGGCUUGCCAGAUACGAUGGCGACCGGCGCACGGGUGAGUAACGCGUAUCCGACCUGCCGCACACUCCGGGAUAGCCUUGCGAAAGCAAGUUUAAUACCGGAUGCCGUAAGGACGCCGCAUGGUGUUUUUACGAAAGGGGUUUUACCGGUGUGCGAUGGGGAUGCGUCCCAUUAG